UCCUUCUCAUGUUGCUCUAAGUUUGGA
This 27-nucleotide small RNA is filed under the name Bombyx mori (domestic silkworm). RNAcentral describes it as "ovarian small RNA-28037". Lineage: Eukaryota; Metazoa; Arthropoda; Insecta; Lepidoptera; Bombycidae. The record is from RNAcentral.